RNAcentral lists this transfer RNA (74 nucleotides) under Syntrophomonadaceae bacterium. RNAcentral describes it as "tRNA-Trp". It matches the Rfam family "tRNA". Rfam says of the family: Transfer RNA (tRNA) molecules are approximately 80 nucleotides in length. Their secondary structure includes four short double-helical elements and three loops (D, anti-codon, and T loops). The record is from RNAcentral. Lineage: Bacteria; Bacillati; Bacillota; Clostridia; Eubacteriales; Syntrophomonadaceae.
AGGGGUAUGAUGUAAUGGUAACAUGAUGGUCUCCAAAACCAUUCUUGAGGGUUCAAGUCCUUCUACCCCUGCCA